CACACCGCCCGUCACAUCACGAAAGUGGGUUGUACUAGAAGUCCGCGCGCUAACCCGCAAGGGGGGGCAGCGGCCCAAGGUAUGACUCAUGAUUGGGGUG
Molecule: ribosomal RNA, 100 nt
Filed under: uncultured bacterium
Lineage: Bacteria
Description: partial 16S ribosomal RNA
Rfam family: Bacterial small subunit ribosomal RNA
Source: RNAcentral